Molecule: ribosomal RNA, 305 nt
Filed under: uncultured bacterium
Lineage: Bacteria
Description: bacterial SSU rRNA
Rfam family: Bacterial small subunit ribosomal RNA
Source: RNAcentral
AGGGCCCUACGGGGGGCAGCAGUGGGGAAUAUUGGACAAUGGGGGAAACCCUGAUCCAGCGACGCCGCGUGAGUGAAGAAGUAUUUCGGUACGUAAAGCUCUAUCAGCAGGAAAGAAAAUGACGGUACCUGACUAAGAAGCCCCGGCUAACUACGUGCCAGCAGCCGCGGUAAUACGUAGGGGGCAAGCGUUAUCCGGAUUUACUGGGUGUAAAGGGAGCGUAGACGGCGAUGCAAGUCUGAAGUGAAAGCCCGGGGCUCAACCCCGGGACUGCUUUGGAAACUGUAUGGCUGGAGUGCUGGAGG